UAAUACGUAGGGGGCAAGCGUUGUCCGGAAUCAUUGGGCGUAAAGCGCGUGUAGGCGGCCAGGUAAGUCCGUUCUGAAAGCCCGGGGCUCAACCCCGGGAGGCGGAUGGAUACUGCUUGGCUCGAGUCCGGAAGAGGCGAGUGGAAUUCCCGGUGUAGCGGUGAAAUGCGCAGAUAUCGGGAGGAACACCAAUGGCGAAGGCAGCUCGCUGGGACGGUACUGACGCUGAGACGCGAAAGCGUGGGGAGCAAACAGGAUUAGAUACCCUGGUAGUCCACGCUGUAAACGAUGGUCACUAGGUGUGGGGGGUGUCGACUCCCUCCGUGCCGAAGCUAACGCAUUAAGUGACCCGCCUGGGGAGUACGGCCGCAAGGCUA
Molecule: ribosomal RNA, 377 nt
Filed under: uncultured bacterium
Lineage: Bacteria
Description: bacterial SSU rRNA
Rfam family: Bacterial small subunit ribosomal RNA
Source: RNAcentral